CAAAGGUACAACCCUGAACGGUGGAUCACUCGGCUCGUGGGUCGAUGAAGAACGCAGCAAAUUGCGCGUCGACAUGUGAACUGCAGGACACAUGAACAUCGACAUUUCGAACGCACAUUGCGGUCCAUGGAUUCCGUUCCCGGACCACGCCUGGCUGAGGGUCGGUAGCUAAAA
Molecule: ribosomal RNA, 174 nt
Filed under: Poecilimon affinis rilensis
Lineage: Eukaryota; Metazoa; Arthropoda; Insecta; Orthoptera; Tettigoniidae
Also listed under: 4 other names
Description: 5.8S ribosomal RNA
Rfam family: 5.8S ribosomal RNA (bases 10-164)
About the family: 5.8S ribosomal RNA (5.8S rRNA) is a component of the large subunit of the eukaryotic ribosome. It is transcribed by RNA polymerase I as part of the 45S precursor that also contains 18S and 28S rRNA. Functionally, it is thought that 5.8S rRNA may be involved in ribosome translocation.
Source: RNAcentral